This 301-nucleotide ribosomal RNA is filed under the name uncultured bacterium. Its description in RNAcentral is "partial 16S ribosomal RNA". It matches the Rfam family "Bacterial small subunit ribosomal RNA", at positions 509 to 809 of the family's 1533-position model. The record is from RNAcentral.
CAGUAGCCGCGGUAAUACAGGGGGUGCGAGCGUUAAUCGGAUUUACUGGGCGUAAAGCGUGCGUAGGCGGCUUCUUAAGUCGGAUGUGAAAUCCCUGAGCUUAACUUAGGAAUUGCAUUCGAUACUGGGAAGCUAGAGUAUGGGAGAGGAUGGUAGAAUUCCAGGUGUAGCGGUGAAAUGCGUAGAGAUCUGGAGGAAUACCGAUGGCGAAGGCAGCCAUCUGGCCUAAUACUGACGCUGAGGUACGAAAGCAUGGGGAGCAAACAGGAUUAGAUACCCCAGUAGUCCCUGUCUCUUAUAA